This is a small nuclear RNA of Callithrix jacchus (white-tufted-ear marmoset), 125 nucleotides long. NCBI's taxonomy places the organism in Eukaryota, Metazoa, Chordata, Mammalia, Primates, Cebidae. The record is from Ensembl.
ACCACCCUUUUCUCGGGGUUGUGCUAUUGUCCAAUAGCGCAUAGUGAGGGCAGUACUGCCAGCGCCUAAACAACGCACCUUCAUAAACUAGAGCUUUGCUUUACCUUGGUGCAAUUUUUGGAAAA